CCGACCUUGGCUCAGUUGGUAGAGCAGAAGAAUGUAGUAUGUGACAGCAAAUUUUUAGGUCGUUGGUUCAAUUACGGCAUGUCGGA
Non-coding RNA from Brassica napus (rape), 86 nucleotides. The record is from Rfam. Lineage: Eukaryota; Viridiplantae; Streptophyta; Magnoliopsida; Brassicales; Brassicaceae.